GGACUACCCGGGUAUCUAAUCCUGUUUGCUACCCACGCUUUCGCACCUCAGCGUCAGUCUCUGUCCAGGUGGUCGCCUUCGCCACCGGUGUUCCUCCUAAUAUCUACGAAUUUCACCUCUACACUAGGAAUUCCACCACCCUCUCCAGGACUCAAGCCUCCCAGUAUCGAAUGCACUUCCACGGUUAAGCCGUGGGAUUUCACACCCGACUUGAAAAGCCGCCUACGCGCGCUUUACGCCCAGUAAUUCCGAACAACGCUUGCACCCUCUGUCUUACCGCGGCUGCUGGCAC
This 292-nucleotide ribosomal RNA is filed under the name uncultured bacterium. RNAcentral's name for it is "partial 16S ribosomal RNA". The record is from RNAcentral.